GGUUAAGCGACUAAGCGUACACGGUGGAUGCCCUGGCAGUCAGAGGCGAUGAAGGACGUGCUAAUCUGCGAUAAGCGUCGGUAAGGUGAUAUGAACCGUUAUAACCGGCGAUUUCCGAAUGGGGAAACCCAGUGUGUUUCGACACACUAUCAUUAACUGAAUCCAUAGGUUAAUGAGGCGAACCGGGGAACUGAAACAUCUAAGUACCCCGAGGAAAAGAAAUCAACCGAGAUUCCCCCAGUAGCGGCGAGCGAACGGGGAGCAGCCCAGAGCCUGAAUCAGUGUGUGUGUUAGUGGAAGCGUCUGGAAAGGCGCGCGAUACAGGGUGACAGCCCCGUACACAAAAAUGCACAUGCUGUGAGCUCGAUGAGUAGGGCGGGACACGUGGUAUCCUGUCUGAAUAUGGGGGACCAUCCUCCAAGGCUAAAUACUCCUGACUGACCGAUAGUGAACCAGUACCGUGAGGGAAAGGCGAAAAGAACCCCGGCGAGGGGAGUGAAAAAGAACCUGAAACCGUGUACGUACAAGCAGUGGGAGCCUCUUUAUGGGGUGACUGCGUACCUUUUGUAUAAUGGGUCAGCGACUUAUAUUCUGUAGCAAGGUUAACCGAAUAGGGGAGCCGAAGGGAAACCGAGUCUUAACUGGGCGUUAAGUUGCAGGGUAUAGACCCGAAACCCGGUGAUCUAGCCAUGGGCAGGUUGAAGGUUGGGUAACACUAACUGGAGGACCGAACCGACUAAUGUUGAAAAAUUAGCGGAUGACUUGUGGCUGGGGGUGAAAGGCCAAUCAAACCGGGAGAUAGCUGGUUCUCCCCGAAAGCUAUUUAGGUAGCGCCUCGUGAACUCAUCUCCGGGGUAGAGCACUGUUUCGGCAAGGGGUCAUCCCGACUUACCAACCCGAUGCAAACUGCGAAUACCGGAGAAUGUUAUCACGGGAGACACACGGCGGGUGCUAACGUCCGUCGUGAAGAGGGAAACAACCCAGACCGCCAGCUAAGGUCCCAAAGUCAUGGUUAAGUGGGAAACGAUGUGGGAAGGCCCAGACAGCCAGGAUGUUGGCUUAGAAGCAGCCAUCAUUUAAAGAAAGCGUAAUAGCUCACUGGUCGAGUCGGCCUGCGCGGAAGAUGUAACGGGGCUAAACCAUGCACCGAAGCUGCGGCAGCGACGCUUAUGCGUUGUUGGGUAGGGGAGCGUUCUGUAAGCCUGCGAAGGUGUACUGUGAGGUAUGCUGGAGGUAUCAGAAGUGCGAAUGCUGACAUAAGUAACGAUAAAGCGGGUGAAAAGCCCGCUCGCCGGAAGACCAAGGGUUCCUGUCCAACGUUAAUCGGGGCAGGGUGAGUCGACCCCUAAGGCGAGGCCGAAAGGCGUAGUCGAUGGGAAACAGGUUAAUAUUCCUGUACUUGGUGUUACUGCGAAGGGGGACGGAGAAGGCUAUGUUGGCCGGGCGACGGUUGUCCCGGUUUAAGCGUGUAGGCUGGUUUUCCAGGCAAAUCCGGAAAAUCAAGGCUGAGGCGUGAUGACGAGGCACUACGGUGCUGAAGCAACAAAUGCCCUGCUUCCAGGAAAAGCCUCUAAGCAUCAGGUAACAUCAAAUCGUACCCCAAACCGACACAGGUGGUCAGGUAGAGAAUACCAAGGCGCUUGAGAGAACUCGGGUGAAGGAACUAGGCAAAAUGGUGCCGUAACUUCGGGAGAAGGCACGCUGAUAUGUAGGUGAAGCGACUUGCUCGUGGAGCUGAAAUCAGUCGAAGAUACCAGCUGGCUGCAACUGUUUAUUAAAAACACAGCACUGUGCAAACACGAAAGUGGACGUAUACGGUGUGACGCCUGCCCGGUGCCGGAAGGUUAAUUGAUGGGGUUAGCGGUAACGCGAAGCUCUUGAUCGAAGCCCCGGUAAACGGCGGCCGUAACUAUAACGGUCCUAAGGUAGCGAAAUUCCUUGUCGGGUAAGUUCCGACCUGCACGAAUGGCGUAAUGAUGGCCAGGCUGUCUCCACCCGAGACUCAGUGAAAUUGAACUCGCUGUGAAGAUGCAGUGUACCCGCGGCAAGACGGAAAGACCCCGUGAACCUUUACUAUAGCUUGACACUGAACAUUGAGCCUUGAUGUGUAGGAUAGGUGGGAGGCUUUGAAGUGUGGACGCCAGUCUGCAUGGAGCCGACCUUGAAAUACCACCCUUUAAUGUUUGAUGUUCUAACGUUGGCCCCUGAUCGGGGUUGCGGACAGUGUCUGGUGGGUAGUUUGACUGGGGCGGUCUCCUCCUAAAGAGUAACGGAGGAGCACGAAGGUUGGCUAAUCCUGGUCGGACAUCAGGAGGUUAGUGCAAUGGCAUAAGCCAGCUUGACUGCGAGCGUGACGGCGCGAGCAGGUGCGAAAGCAGGUCAUAGUGAUCCGGUGGUUCUGAAUGGAAGGGCCAUCGCUCAACGGAUAAAAGGUACUCCGGGGAUAACAGGCUGAUACCGCCCAAGAGUUCAUAUCGACGGCGGUGUUUGGCACCUCGAUGUCGGCUCAUCACAUCCUGGGGCUGAAGUAGGUCCCAAGGGUAUGGCUGUUCGCCAUUUAAAGUGGUACGCGAGCUGGGUUUAGAACGUCGUGAGACAGUUCGGUCCCUAUCUGCCGUGGGCGCUGGAGAACUGAGGGGGCUGCUCCUAGUACGAGAGGACCGGAGUGGACGCAUCACUGGUGUUCGGGUUGUCAUGCCAAUGGCACUGCCCGGUAGCUAAAUGCGGAAGAGAUAAGUGCUGAAAGCAUCUAAGCACGAAACUUGCCCCGAGAUGAGUUCUCCCUGACCCUUUAAGGGUCCUGAAGGAACGUUGAAGACGACGACGUUGAUAGGCCGGGUGUGUAAGCGCAGCGAUGCGUUGAGCUAACCGGUACUAAUGAACCGUGAGGCUUAACCUU
RNAcentral lists this ribosomal RNA (2899 nucleotides) under Escherichia coli. Its description in RNAcentral is "23S ribosomal RNA". It matches the Rfam family "Bacterial large subunit ribosomal RNA". Lineage: Bacteria; Pseudomonadati; Pseudomonadota; Gammaproteobacteria; Enterobacterales; Enterobacteriaceae. The record is from RNAcentral.